Non-coding RNA from Ictidomys tridecemlineatus (thirteen-lined ground squirrel), 1627 nucleotides. NCBI's taxonomy places the organism in Eukaryota, Metazoa, Chordata, Mammalia, Rodentia, Sciuridae. The record is from RefSeq and is a predicted model, not a curated record.
AAUAAUGAACCCAAAUUUGAGCCAUGUUUUUUUCUUUAAAUCACAAGUAAAAAUGAUUUGGUCUUGAAAAGGCAUGUACCCUUGAAUUUAAGAAAGUUAGACUUCAAGCUUCAGGACAGAUAUCUUUGUUUUUAUUCAUUGAUGCCUGACCUUCUCAAACAGCCCCAGAUAUUUAAUUAUGGUGCUGAAGUUAAAAAAGCAACAUAAUACUUUGAAUUGAUAUAUAACACUUUAACUGUGAUAACUUUUUUUGUUUCAGAGCUAUUUAUGAAGAAAUAGAUGUUUAUCCCCACAAAGGAGCUCGAAGUCAUAGUGAUUGUUGAGGUUAAAGUGGAUGAUCAAUCAGCUCACUAGCAGCACAGAAGGGCUAGCUCUCUUAGAGGGUAGAUCCUAUCCAGCUUUGAGACCUGGAAGACAAGACCUACCAACAUGUGAAAGCCACAGUGGACCAUUUCUUCUCUGCUAUAAUGAAGUAUAAGCAGAAGAAUAAUAAUUUCAGAGUAAUAUUCAUGAUUAAUGACAACCAAUCAAAAUUUCAGUAGAAUGUGGUUGUAGCAAAUAUUCACUUAAAACUUUGGAAGAACAAUUACUUAGUCCUUAGGCCAACCAGUUUAAUUGCAGUACCUUCUGUUGCCUACAUCUUCCUAUAUAUAGAAAACAAUCACACAGCUGUGAUAAAAGUAGAUAAAGAUUGUUACUUUAUUAUUAUUACUACAAAAUAAUUCUAAAUAGAUGGGAGAAACUAAAUGUAUUAUUCAGGAAGAACAUUUUGUGCCUUCACUUAACUAAAAUUGAAUGUAAGAUAAUUUGCACUUCUUUAAAAAUAAUUCUUUGAUUCUUUAUAAUGCUAAAUUAUCUUCUAUUGCCCCCUACCCUUUUUAUUAUAAUUAACAUUUCUAUUUGGAACAAAGACUACUGGAAAACAUUCAGAAUAAAUUGUGUAUUCAUUUACAUAAAUUACAAUGACAAAUAACUUAAAAUAAUUUAUUAUUAUUUUUUUAUACAGUUUUGAUCCCAGAACUUCUAUGUCAGUAAUCUUCAUAAUCCCAUCCUUCCCUUUUAACAUUCAGGGGCUUGGAACUAAGAAAGUAAAUGCAAGCAGUCUAAUUAGAUAUAUUACAUUAUUAUUACAUUAUAUUACAUUUUAUUUCAAUUUCAUAGUGUCACAAUUUCAAAGUAAUUCAAUAUUCAAAUGUAAAAUAGACCUAGACCUUAAAGGGAAACUAAAGUAAAAUUUGAAAUAAGAAUAUAAUCUUUGAGCCAUCUUAGGGCUUAGUGACUUUUCUUUCACCUUUGAAUUUUUUAAAAUAAUGGCCAUUCACACUGAAGGAAAAUAGCUGUUUUGGAGAUAAAUAAACAUGGUCCAAAGUUCUGUUCUAUAGCCUGAAACAGAUAACUGUGGGCGCGCGCGUGUGUGUAUGAAGGGCCAAUAAUUUGAAAAGCAACUGUAGAAUUAAGCUGAACAAUGAUCAAGUUCAUGCCUGCACAUGUAAGAAACAAAGCAGUUUCUCUUCAUAGUAUCACAUUCUUAAAUAUGGUAGUAAACAGUCAUACAGUCUAUAUAAACGUGGGUUUCUUAUGGUAAAAAGCUGAAACUGUUCUUUUACUUUUAAGUGGCAUAAAUUAG